RNAcentral lists this ribosomal RNA (252 nucleotides) under uncultured bacterium. RNAcentral describes it as "partial 16S ribosomal RNA". It matches the Rfam family "Bacterial small subunit ribosomal RNA", at positions 524 to 776 of the family's 1533-position model. The record is from RNAcentral.
UACGAAGGGGCUAGCGUUGUUCGGAAUUACUGGGCGUAAAGAGCGUGUAGGCGGCCAGGCAGGUCCGCUGUGAAAACUCGAGGCUCAACCUCGAGACGUCGAUGGAAACCAUCUGGCUAGAGUCCGGAAGAGGAGAGUGGAAUUCCUGGUGUAGCGGUGAAAUGCGCAGAUAUCAGGAAGAACACCCGUGGCGAAGGCGGCUCUCUGGUACGUGACUGACGCUGAGACGCGAAAGCGUGGGGAGCGAACAGG